RNAcentral lists this microRNA precursor (98 nucleotides) under Marmota monax (woodchuck). The record is from RNAcentral. Lineage: Eukaryota; Metazoa; Chordata; Mammalia; Rodentia; Sciuridae.
CACACACAUACAUGUGUGUGUGUGUGUGUAUGUGUGUGUGUGUGUGUAUAUAUAUAUACACACACACACACACACACACACACACACACAUACAUAUU